GAUCAAGUAAAGGAAGAGCACAAGGCGGAUGCCUUGGCAGCAUAAGGCGAUGAAGGACGUAAUAACCUGCGAUAAGCCUCGGGGAGCUGGUAAAUAAGCUUCGAUCCGAGGAUUUCCGAAUGGGGAAAACCCAAUAUACGUAAGUAUAUUAUCUUAUACUGAAUACAUAGGUAUAAGAGGCAAACCUAGGGAACUGAAACAUCUAAGUACCUAGAGGAAAAGAAAUCAACUGAGAUUCCGGUAGUAGCGGCGAGCGAAACCGGAGCAGCCCUUAAGCUUUUAUUAGUCCAGCAAAAUAUUCUGGAAAGUUUAGCCAUAGUAGGUGAUAGCCCUGUAUGCGAAAGACUAAUUUAAGUGAAAUCGAGUAGGUCGGGACACGUGAAAUCUUGACUGAAUAUGGGGGGACCAUCCUCCAAGGCUAAAUACUCUAUGCUGACCGAUA
RNAcentral lists this ribosomal RNA (442 nucleotides) under Gammaproteobacteria bacterium. RNAcentral describes it as "partial 23S ribosomal RNA". It matches the Rfam family "Bacterial large subunit ribosomal RNA", at positions 1 to 489 of the family's 2925-position model. Lineage: Bacteria; Pseudomonadati; Pseudomonadota; Gammaproteobacteria. The record is from RNAcentral.